RNAcentral lists this ribosomal RNA (763 nucleotides) under Enterobacter sp. Wr1M19. RNAcentral's name for it is "bacterial SSU rRNA". It matches the Rfam family "Bacterial small subunit ribosomal RNA", at positions 8 to 759 of the family's 1533-position model. The record is from RNAcentral. Lineage: Bacteria; Pseudomonadati; Pseudomonadota; Gammaproteobacteria; Enterobacterales; Enterobacteriaceae.
AGAGUUUUGAUUCUGGCUCAGAUUGAAACGCUGGCGGCAGGCCUAACACAUGCAAGUCGAACGGUAACAGGAAGCAGCUUGCUGCUUCGCUGACGAGUGGCGGACGGGUGAGUAAUGUCUGGGAAACUGCCUGAUGGAGGGGGAUAACUACUGGAAACGGUAGCUAAUACCGCAUAACGUCGCAAGACCAAAGAGGGGGACCUUCGGGCCUCUUGCCAUCAGAUGUGCCCAGAUGGGAUUAGCUAGUAGGUGGGGUAACGGCUCACCUAGGCGACGAUCCCUAGCUGGUCUGAGAGGAUGACCAGCCACACUGGAACUGAGACACGGUCCAGACUCCUACGGGAGGCAGCAGUGGGGAAUAUUGCACAAUGGGCGCAAGCCUGAUGCAGCCAUGCCGCGUGUAUGAAGAAGGCCUUCGGGUUGUAAAGUACUUUCAGCGGGGAGGAAGGCGAUGUGGUUAAUAACCGCGUCGAUUGACGUUACCCGCAGAAGAAGCACCGGCUAACUCCGUGCCAGCAGCCGCGGUAAUACGGAGGGUGCAAGCGUUAAUCGGAAUUACUGGGCGUAAAGCGCACGCAGGCGGUCUGUCAAGUCGGAUGUGAAAUCCCCGGGCUCAACCUGGGAACUGCAUCCGAAACUGGCAGGCUUGAGUCUCGUAGAGGGGGGUAGAAUUCCAGGUGUAGCGGUGAUUUUCUAGAGAUCUGGAGGAAUACCGGUGGCGAAGGCGGCCCCCUGGACGAAGACUGACGCUCAGGUGCGAAAG